This 206-nucleotide long non-coding RNA is filed under the name Capsicum annuum. RNAcentral's name for it is "long non-coding RNA (CANN_LNC018395)". Lineage: Eukaryota; Viridiplantae; Streptophyta; Magnoliopsida; Solanales; Solanaceae. The record is from RNAcentral.
CUUCUCUAUCUAUGUUCUUGAAGUAACAUGUUCGGUAAGUUCUAGUUCCUCCCCAGAUAAUGCUUUUAUAAUUGCUAGCAGAAGUUUCAAAAGUUUCAUAGAGCGGCUUGAGAGGAGCCUUCUAGUAUGUUAUAAGUCCAUCAGAUUUGAAGUUAUACCCUUGUUCUUAUGAGUUAUUUAAUUAAGAUGGAGUAAGGUGUAUUCUU